GCAAGUCGAGCGAGACGGUUAUGAAGGAUUCUUCGGAUGAUUGAUUAACUAGAAAGCGGCGGACGGGUGAGUAACGCGUGGGUAACCUGCCCCAUACACAGGGAUAGCCAUUGGAAACGAUGAUUAAUACCUGAUAACACUAAAUGAUCGCAUGAUUAUUUGGUCAAAGAUUUAUCGGUAUGGGAUGGACCCGCGUUUGAUUAGCUAGUUGGUAAGGUAACGGCUUACCAAGGCGACGAUCAAUAGCCGACCUGAGAGGGUGAUC
RNAcentral lists this ribosomal RNA (265 nucleotides) under uncultured bacterium. Its description in RNAcentral is "partial 16S ribosomal RNA". It matches the Rfam family "Bacterial small subunit ribosomal RNA", at positions 57 to 305 of the family's 1533-position model. The record is from RNAcentral.